RNAcentral lists this ribosomal RNA (111 nucleotides) under Serratia fonticola. Its description in RNAcentral is "partial 16S ribosomal RNA". It matches the Rfam family "Bacterial small subunit ribosomal RNA", at positions 1 to 106 of the family's 1533-position model. The record is from RNAcentral. Lineage: Bacteria; Pseudomonadati; Pseudomonadota; Gammaproteobacteria; Enterobacterales; Yersiniaceae.
UAAUUGAAGAGUUUGAUCAUGGCUCAGAUUGAACGCUGGCGGCAGGCCUAACACAUGCAAGUCGAGCGGUAGCACAGGGAGCUUGCUCCUGGGUGACGAGCGGCGGACGGG